RNAcentral lists this ribosomal RNA (433 nucleotides) under uncultured bacterium. RNAcentral's name for it is "partial 16S ribosomal RNA". It matches the Rfam family "Bacterial small subunit ribosomal RNA", at positions 29 to 507 of the family's 1533-position model. The record is from RNAcentral.
AGCGAACGCUGGCGGCAGGCCUAACACAUGCAAGUCGAACGAACUCUUCGGAGUUAGUGGCGGACGGGUGAGUAACACGUGGGAACGUGCCUUUUGGUUCGGAAUAACUCAGGGAAACUUGUGCUAAUACCGAAUGUGCCCUUCGGGGGAAAGAUUUAUCGCCAUUAGAGCGGCCCGCGUCUGAUUAGCUAGUUGGUGAGGUAACGGCUCACCAAGGCGACGAUCAGUAGCUGGUCUGAGAGGGUGACCAGCCACACUGGGACUGAGACACGGCCCAGACUCCUACGGGAGGCAGCAGUGGGGAAUCUUGCGCAAUGGGCGAAAGCCUGACGCAGCCAUGCCGCGUGAAUGAUGAAGGUCUUAGGAUUGUAAAAUUCUUUCACCGGGGACGAUAAUGACGGUACCCGGAGAAGAAGCCCCGGCUAACUUCGUG